UAAAAGUUGAUGUGUCAGUGAAUCUUCUAAAAUUAAGACAAAUUGAUUCUUGCAGAAAUCUCAAAACGACAAUGUAAAGAGCAAAACUUAUGUUAUUCAACAAUAACAAAAUCUCAAAACGAUAAAAUAACUAUUUCCACAAAGUUUAUGAUCCACCCCUCCACCCUUUCGUCCCUUCUCUGCCACCUCUGGUGACUACAUUCGUUUCUGGGAGGUUUGCAAAUCCUCCAUCAAGACCCUCUCCCUUUUCAACAAGACCAAUAAAAAUAUGUAACUAGAGUGUUUGUAAAAAUGCUUUAACUAAAUUUGAUGGAUCACGCACCUUCCAUGUCUAGGAAACAAAAACCAAUAAAAUCGUUAGUUGUACAUUAACCAGAGAAAUCGACGGCAACUCUUUCAAUUCCUCCGAACCUCUUGUGGCGGAUUCAACUGAGAGAAGCGCGUGAGCAGGUCGCCACGCCGUGCCUCCCCUUUCGGUCUCUCCGUCCUCAUUGCCAAUGCCGUGGGAUUCGUUGAGUUCCGUGUACGGGCUCAAUUCCACCCAAAGUCCCUUUCUCUUAGAAGGAUCGUAUGACGAACAAAGUAGGGAAGGACACAGCCCAUAACUAUAAUCAUAUCUAUAGGCUUUUCAUCACGAGCCUGAGGUUCUUCACGGUUUACGGACUUUUCAUCACAGUCCGCAAACCUUCUUUAACAACAGCAAGACCAACGAGUUCUGCGCCUUUCUCACCGUACCGCCUUCUAUUGGAACGACAUUGAUCUUAAACACAUUGAAACCUCAAGUAUCGAACAAGCAGGAUUUGGGGUACAUGGCUAUGAUCUUGAGGUUAGUAAUAAAGUUGUGAUAUUGCUUGGGCUUUGCAGAGUUCUAGGCACAUUUGUUUUGCUAGGAAUGAUGCUCAAGCUCUGAUUUAGGAAUUGCCUGCUAUGGCUGGACCUAAUGGGAUUGAUCCAAUAUUUAUGUAUUCUGUUGGGAUUUUAUUUGGUUUGGAUUUUCUUCUAGGGUCGAUUUGUCAUAAUUUUGGAAGAACAAAAUUCUACAUGAAAAAUCCACCG
Non-coding RNA from Arachis ipaensis, 1056 nucleotides. NCBI's taxonomy places the organism in Eukaryota, Viridiplantae, Streptophyta, Magnoliopsida, Fabales, Fabaceae. The record is from RefSeq and is a predicted model, not a curated record.